AGUGAAAUUCCAAACAAUCAUGAAGCCUAGAAAUUGGCCCAUCCUGACCCAAUACUUCAUACAAGUUGUUCAAGGCUCAAUCCAUUUACAGCAGCAAUGUUGAUUUCCAGUCAAAAUAAUCCAUUGUCAUUUUGGCAUCAUGCUUUGUAGUUUACUUAUGUUUAUUUCGCCAACAUUCUUAACUAUAACUCUUAUGUGCGUUACGUGGAGAUCUUUAAUCUACUCCGA
Molecule: long non-coding RNA, 228 nt
Filed under: Elaeis guineensis (African oil palm)
Lineage: Eukaryota; Viridiplantae; Streptophyta; Magnoliopsida; Arecales; Arecaceae
Description: long non-coding RNA (EGUI_LNC058600)
Source: RNAcentral